RNAcentral lists this ribosomal RNA (446 nucleotides) under uncultured bacterium. Its description in RNAcentral is "bacterial SSU rRNA". It matches the Rfam family "Bacterial small subunit ribosomal RNA", at positions 355 to 796 of the family's 1533-position model. The record is from RNAcentral.
UCGAGAAUCUUCGGCAAUGAGCGCAAGCUUGACCGAGCGACGCCGCGUGUGGGAUGAAGGCCUUCGGGUUGUAAACCACUGUCGUAGGGGACGAAAUUCUGCUGGGUACUCCCAACAGAUUGACAGAUCCUAGGAGGAAGGGUGGGCUAAGUUCGUGCCAGCAGCCGCGGUAAGACGUACCACCCGAACGUUAUUCGGAUUCACUGGGCUUACAGAGUCCGUAGGCGGUGGAGAAAGUUAGGCGUGAAAUCCCCCAGCUCAACUGAGGAAUAGCGCUUAAAACUACUUCGCUAGAGAGAGUCAGAGGUAAGCGGAACUGAUGGUGGAGCGGUGAAAUGCGUUGAUAUCAUCAGGAACACCGGUGGCGAAAGCGGCUUACUGGGGCUUUUCUGACGCUGAGGGACGAAAGCUAGGGGAGCGAACGGGAUUAGAUACCCCGGUAGUCC